This 253-nucleotide ribosomal RNA is filed under the name uncultured bacterium. RNAcentral describes it as "partial 16S ribosomal RNA". It matches the Rfam family "Bacterial small subunit ribosomal RNA", at positions 524 to 776 of the family's 1533-position model. The record is from RNAcentral.
UACGUAGGUGGCAAGCGUUGUCCGGAUUUAUUGGGUUUAAAGGGUGCGUAGGCGGCCUAUUAAGUCAGUGCUGAAAUAUCCCGGCUUAACCGGGAGGGUGGCAUUGAUACUGAUGGGCUUGAGUAGAGUCGAGGUAGGCGGAAUUGACGGUGUAGCGGUGAAAUGCGCAGAUAUCAGGAAGAACACCUAUGGCGAAGGCAGCUCUCUGGGACGGUACUGACGCUGAGACGCGAAAGCGUGGGGAGCGAACAGG